Molecule: long non-coding RNA, 739 nt
Filed under: Androctonus crassicauda
Lineage: Eukaryota; Metazoa; Arthropoda; Arachnida; Scorpiones; Buthidae
Source: RNAcentral
GAAUGAUUCUUUUUCAUUUUCUGCUCAUAGCUCAACAAAAAUAUGGUCAGUUAAGACAAAACCAGAUAAGAGGAAGUUUAUUGUAAUUUGCACUAUUAAAAGUCUAGUUAAUUUUGCAUCAUUGUUUGUGUUCUUAUGUUUAUAUAUUUUCGUUUUAACCUAUAUUUUUUAUUAAAGACUGUAUUUUAUAGAGCAGUGGUUCCCAUCAUUUUUUUUCAUGUACCCCUUGAUUAGGGUUUCUAUUUAUUUAUUUAUUGUUUCUUUUCAUUACCCCCUUUUGCAUUCUUCCACAACUGCCCAUCCCUGUGGAGGAGUCAGUCGGUUUGUGGAGGACAGGAAUUUUCAGGUUCCAUCCAGACCCCAUGAUAAAUAUUUUCAAAUAAUGAGUCCUGAGACUCAGACCUGGGUCGUUCAGAAUGGAAAGCCAAGGUGUUUUCAUGUGGCCAAUUCAGCAGCUCGAUUGAACACUAAAAUGAUGGACUGCUUUCAAUCAAAGUGAUAGUUUUAGCAAUCAAAUUUGGAAAAUCAAAAAUUUGAUUGUCUUUUGUGGUCACCCAUUGGGAAAUUAUUAAAAUAAUUAAUAUUAUAUACAUUAGGCCUCUGACUUACACAAUUUUGACUUAUAUGGUGAGAGAUGCAUAUACACAAGUCUGUUUUUAUUACAUUUCCAUAAAAUGCAGGGUCGCAGAGCCACGGAGUCAGACCUUACAAAUUUUAGGGAGUUGGAGUUGGAUUUUUU